AUACGGAGGGUGCAAGCGUUAAUCGGAAUUACUGGGCGUAAGCGUACGUAGGCGGCAAGUUAAGUUAGAUGUGAAAGCCCCGGGCUCAACCUGGGAACUGCAUUUAAAACUGGCUUGCUAGAGUUGAGUAGAGGGGAGUGGAAUUUCAGGUGUAGCGGUGAAAUGCGUAGAGAUCUGAAGGAACACCAGUGGCGAAGGCGACUCCCUGGACUCGAACUGACGCUGAGGUACGAAAGCGUGGGUAGCAAACGGGAUUAGAAACCCUAGUAGUCC
RNAcentral lists this ribosomal RNA (273 nucleotides) under uncultured bacterium. Its description in RNAcentral is "partial 16S ribosomal RNA". It matches the Rfam family "Bacterial small subunit ribosomal RNA", at positions 523 to 796 of the family's 1533-position model. The record is from RNAcentral.